Molecule: ribosomal RNA, 313 nt
Filed under: uncultured bacterium
Lineage: Bacteria
Description: bacterial SSU rRNA
Rfam family: Bacterial small subunit ribosomal RNA
Source: RNAcentral
GACGAACGCUGGCGGCGCGCCUAACACAUGCAAGUCGAACGAGGUUGAGAGGAGCUUGCUUUUCUUGACUUAGUGGCGAACGGGUGAGUAACGCGUGAGGAACCUGCCUCAAAGAGGGGGACAACAGCUGGAAACGACUGCUAAUACCGCAUAAGCCCAUAGCUCCGCAUGGAGCAGAGGGAAAAGGAGUGAUCCGCUUUGAGAUGGAUCCGCGUCUGAUUAGCCAGUUGGCGGGGUAACGGCCCACCAAAGCGACGAUCAGUAGCCGGCCUGAGAGGGUGAACGGCCACAUUGGGACUGAGACACGGCCCAA